Molecule: ribosomal RNA, 253 nt
Filed under: uncultured bacterium
Lineage: Bacteria
Description: partial 16S ribosomal RNA
Rfam family: Bacterial small subunit ribosomal RNA
Source: RNAcentral
UACGUAGGGGGCAAGCGUUGUCCGGAAUCAUUGGGCGUAAAGCGCGUGUAGGCGGUUCGGUAAGUCUGCUGUGAAAGUCCAGGGCUCAACCCUGGGAUGCCGGUGGAUACUGUCGGACUAGAGUACGGAAGAGGCGAGUGGAAUUCCCGGUGUAGCGGUGAAAUGCGUAGAUAUUGGGAGGAACACCGGUGGCGAAGGCGGCUAUCUGGACCGGUACUGACGCUGAGACGCGAAAGCCAGGGGAGCAAACGGG